CAAAGGUGAACCUGUCUUCUGACCUCUGUGAGACCUCAAAACCAACAUUUUUGGACAAAAUCACCGUCCUGAACUUUGCAGUUGUUGGCUCCGAGGGAACCCUCUAAACAAAUGUGUACGUGGCUCUGAUUCAGCAGAGUCUAAGUUUGGCCUUGAACAGCUCUGGGAUGGGUACCAUGGCACACAGCUGCAGGAUGGCCCACUGCAUAUCAGGGAGCCCAUUAGCUGACUUCACACUCAGGCCCAUGCAACUGAAUCCUGAGAACUUCCAACUGCAGGCAUCUGUUUGCCCCAGGCCAGUGGCAAGCCUUGCAGAAAAAUCCUCCAUGCUGUGUGCUGAACUUCAGGAACUCUACUCACCACCAGCACCAGAAAGAAGGAAAGGGGAGAAGGGCCAACUUAUUUGUCAAGAAGAAAAUAAGAAACAGUUGAAGGGCCUGUACCAAGUCCCUGAAAAGCUGCCAGCAUACCUUGAAGACUCACAUCAUUCUUAUGAAGAUUCCAACGUAAAUCUAAAAAUCUACCAUCUGCUGGAUAACAUAACAUUAUGCUUGCCCAGGGAAGCUGGGAAGAGGUAGGGAACCAUUCUGGAAGCUUGGGCAUGAGAAGUGAACACAGGUAAGAAUAGUACAGUCAACGUCUUCCAGAUCUCAAUCUAUUUUUAUUUGUAUUUUAUUAUAAAAGUGAUCUGUAUCUUACACAAAGUUAUUUUAAAAUAGCAAAGUUUACCAAAGCUACUGAAUCUGAGGCCGAGGGAUUCACUGCCAAAAUGCAGAUUUACAUGGUAACCUGAGAGCCGAACACACUGAACACAAUUCUUCCAUUUUGUAAUAAUUCAUUACCAGAGCAAAACCAAUUGUACAUGUUUCCAAAUAUGUGAUAAAGAUAAAAUAACAAUUGCAGCCUUCACUGUGAAUUAACAAAGGCCCUACUCAAGAGUUCCUCAUUGUUUCUCUCAGAGUGAAACAUUUGAAGGAUUUUACAAAUCUUCUCAUAAAAGUUAAUAUUUUAGGCUUAUACACAACAUAUGUCUGCACAAACACAUCUAUUCUAACUCUAUACCCUUGAGUUUUUUACAAUUGCACCAUCUCAGUUAUAGUGAACAUGCAGGAGGCAUUCAUAAUUGUUUUUCUCAGCAGUAUUGUAAUAUACAAGUCAAAUGCAAAUCUUAAAUAUAAUAUAAAAUUCAAUUGGAUACCAUCUCAACCCAAUACCUUGGCUCAUAUACUCUAGGUUAAUGCUUUAGUGUUGGUGAAAUGGUUCAUGUUUAAAAAAAGAAAAAACACAAAACAGUGAUGAGAACUAGUCCAUUACCAAAGCCACUUGAUACAUAGCUCCCAGAGGAUGUAACCAUGAAUGACAAGAAACAGCAAGAAGCCAGCUUUUCACACCCAGUUGCAGAAAAGAAAUAACAUAUAGGGCAUUUUACAACAGUUAUUAAACUAUUUCAUAUACAGAAUGUCUUCAUAAUAAGAACCAGGGUUCAAAGUAACUCCUCCCCUACCCCACCAGUCUUUCUCUUCUUUUCAGAAAGAAAUAAACCCAGAUUCCAAUGCA
This is a long non-coding RNA of Oryctolagus cuniculus (rabbit), 1557 nucleotides long. The record is from Ensembl. Lineage: Eukaryota; Metazoa; Chordata; Mammalia; Lagomorpha; Leporidae.